GCGACCGAUCGCAGUCGUGUUUUGGCUUUGGAACAGUGAUGGAUUUCUACGAGACGAACAUCGUCAAGAGUUAUAGACUGUAUCUGCUCCUCGUUGGCGUGUGGCCUUACGAAUAUUCGAAAGCGAACAAGAUGCAAAGGAUCGUGUACGUUACGUGCGUAAUUUCUUUUUUACUCGUUCAGAUUUUCACAUUGUUCACCGAUGAGAUCAAUUACGCUCUGCUGUGCCAGAUAAUUACAAAUAUACUGAUCGUUUCAUUAAUAUUAAUAAAAUAUAUUAAUAUUUGGAUCAAGAUCGAAGAGUUUAAGGAAUUUUUUGAUUACAUAAGGAUCGACUUGAGCACAUUGACGGAAACGGAAAAGAUUAUAAUAAAACGAACGUAUAAGAAAUGUUCGUAUUAUUGUCAGAUUAUGUUUCUAUUCGCUUACUUCGCGGCCUUUAUAUUGAUGAUAAUCCAAAUAUUUCAAAUCGUUGAUUACGGGAUCGCAUCCUCGAACAGAACAAAUUAUUUUGAUCGAAUAAUUUUAACCGAAUAUUUUAUCGACCGUGAAAAAUAUUCUUAUCCCAUUUGUAUACAUUUAAAUAUAGCAAUAUUGUUAAUUUCUUCGAUGGAGGUUGGUAUCGAUGUAUUACACGCGAUAAUAUUAACGCACAUUAUUGGAAUAUUCGACAAGAUUGGAUAUUUAACGAUACAUUUAUUCGACGAACCAGAAAUUACUUGUCAAAAAAUUGACAAAUAUUUAAUUUACUACAGAAGAUUGGUGUAUAUCGUGAAUUUGUAUAAGAGAAAUUUGAAAUUUUGCGAAAAGUACAAUUCUACAAUGCUUAUAUGUGGGGGUAUUCAAAUAAUUUGGGGAACAUUAAUUAUCUCUGCCUUGCUCUUGAAAUUGAAAAACGAAUUAUUGCCACACAAUCUACGAAUGAUGUUUGCAUAUUGUUUUUUCGUCAGUUUAUACUUAUUUAUCAUAUACAUGCUAAUAUUACCCUAUCAAAAAGUAUACGAGAUCAGCGAAACUUUGUUCUUCAAGGCCUAUUGCGGACACUGGUACUCAACCUCGGCCAAAACUCAGAAAUUGCUGUUAUUUCUUAUGCACAGAUUCAUGACACCGUAUAAAUUCCGAUUUAAAAGUUUGGUAAUUGUGAUCAACCAAACGUACGUGUCGAUGAUACGAAUCGGUUUCUCCUACUUCAUGUUCAUGCAUUCCAUCCAAGAAUAAUCGCGAUCGACGUUGAGCGUGACCGAUCAUCCGAUGGAUUUCGCAGGAUCAUCGUGAAUCAUCGUGAACGGAACGGUACGAAGUAUAUGCGGUGUCGGCACGAUAUCACGGACUAAUUAAACCGAGAGGAUAUUGCCAAUGACGUGAUCUGCAUAUAUUUAAAGUUCAUCCACGAGCUGCUCCCGGAAGUUGAAUGCUCGACUGACCUGUCGUCAAGAGGUUAACAAAAUGGCACGAAAUAUGCUCCGAGUCUGGAUACAUUUCUCCAUAAAGAUAGUAAUGAUAAAAUGUAUCGCGAUGAUGGAAUUAUACGCUGUUCCAUUCCGUGUGCAAUUUUAAACGAACAAUUUAAAUUUUAUUUCGACGAAAUGAACAUUCUUAGCACGGAAAAAAAUUACCGUUGAAACAAAUAAUUAACAGGAAAAUUGUAUUCUUAUAUUUCGCACGUGGAAAUCGAUUUUACAGUUUAGAAAAUAAUCAUAUUUAUAUUUACAUUUAAUUUGAAGAAGGUAUAAUGAUAUUCCUGCUGGAAAUUGCGUUAAUCUUUGCGACAUGUUAUUUCUGUUUCGCUUUAUUGAAGUGCAAUUGAUAGCUGCAAUCGAGUUCGUUUAUUCGCUUGAUGAAACAUUGUAAACUGAUUUCGCUGUGCAAAUGCAGCGUUUACACGCACCUACGUAUUUCAUUUUUUUUUUCCAUUCAUGCUUUCUGUUGUAUUUCACACGGUAUAAAUUGAAUCAAUUGUACUACGAUCGAAUGGAAAUCACGCAGAAUUUUUUUUUUUUUUUUAAUGAACUAACUUCGUAAAGAGAGAAUAAAAAAAAUAUUGGUAGAAGUUUUGCGGUAAAAAAACAUUCAAUUUUUAAAUAUUCGACGAAAAAUACUUUCGUUUUUUAUUUUAUAAAUAAACGUAUUAUAAAAGAAAUAUAAAAAAAUCUUAUUUAUUUCAUAUCACACACGUUACACACGUUCGAUUUAAUACAUAGUUUCUUCGAUCGUUUUUAGAAUUUUAGAUCUUUAAUUCCAUUCAAAAAUUUUAGGAUACUUUCAAACCAAAAAAAAAAAAAAAAUGUCAUUGGAAAAUAAUUAUUUAACGUAUUAAAUAACGUGAUUGAUCGUCGAAUCAAAAUAAUUCUCAAAUUGUCGUACAACAUUCACGAUAUACGUUUAAUCGCGAAUCCAAAAUUAUCGUGUUCAUUGCUCAUUUACUUUUAUCGCCCGUAUUAAUAUUCAUUUAGAAAUCCUUUGUAAUCAAAAUUAAUAUAAAUAGCCAGUCAUCGUUUCACAAUGCAAUUAUCGUGAAAACGAAUACAUGUACUUCGUGUCGUAUCGUUAAUGAUAAAACAGAUUUCUCGCGUACUCGCGUGCAUUAUAAUCAUUAAUCAAUUUAAUCCUACAAUUUUCCUCACGAAGUUGUUUAUAUUUCUCCAAUUUCGAUCAAUUAAAGUAUAUCGGAUAUUGAAUAUGAUAAAAUUUCAAUUUUAAUUCAAGUGUUUUAUAUAUAUAUAUAUAUAGAAAAUAAGAAACGUACGUUUCUUCCUUCUUCUUUACCGAUUUUUAAUAAGAACUAAAAUAGCAACUAGUUUCAGAUAUACCAUUCUCGAGUGUCGGAACACGACUAAGGAUUGUAUUACCUUUACUUUAGAAACUAUAGAAACAACACUCCACUCGAAGUAAGUAGAAAUACAAAAUAGUACUUUUCGUGUUAAAUUGAAAUAUUAAUAUAUAAAAAAUUUUGUAAUUUUUAGGAACAAUUCCUUUCUCGAUUCUUGCUUUCGGCAUUCUUUUAUAUUCAAGAAUAUAAAUCGUCAUCGUUAUACACGGAUUAUUAUACAUAUUCAUAUGGAUGGAGUACUCCUUUAUGCAAUAUUACAACACUACCGAGGGAGAACACUAACGAGACAUUGAAGCUUCGUAAAUUCUAUUUGAGUACCUCAUUUAUUCCGUAAUACAUCAUUUUCAAUCUGCCUUCUUCAUCGUAAUCUCUUCUUAGAACUAUAAUAUCUCAUUUAUUUCUAUUUUUAAAAUUUCAAUGCCUCGUUACUCCCUUAUUUAAUUCACCUACAUACACAUCGAUCCCGUAUUAUUUCAAUAACGCACAUUCCUCCCGCCAUUCGCAACAUCGCGUCCUUAUAAUUUUGCAAAUGCAUCUUUGUAUCAUUGCGUAAAUUCAAAACUUUUCCCAUCUUUUUCAGAAAAUUCUCUUCCAAUAUAUUUUCACACGACUCGUCAGAAGUUGACAGUAAGUUCGAUACUACAUUCUGUUUCGAGAGAAAUCCGUGCGCUCGUGAUUAACGAUCGAACGAUGAAGUGCAAUCAGCGAACUUCGACAAUUUAUACCGAGAAAUAUUUACUGUUUCGCAUUGCUGAUUCAUGCACACAGCACCGCGGAUGUAACAAUUUAAACAACGAUGGCGCGCGCCCCGUUAACACCGAUCUGGUACAAUAUGCAUCACAGUGCUUAAGGUAUGCUGCGCUCCGUGUUCCCCAGCUUUUCGACAAAUUAACGCCAGUGGAAACCGUGCCGACCGAACAUGUCGCAUCUCGCCGUUCAUCUCUCUCCUCUCUCUCUCUCUCUCUCUCUCUCUGGCUAUAUUUUUCUAUAUCCACGCAGCACACAUAUCGAACGUGAGUAUUUUUCUUUAUUUUUUUUUUUUUUCAAUCUUCAAACAUCGUGAAAUUUUGCACUCGAUUUAUUAUAGCGCGGUAAAUUAUCUUGUAUUAUCCUUCUAACUCGUGAUAUUUAAUUUUAAAACGUCAGCGAGAAAGGAAUUAUAAGAGUGAAAAAAUACAUAUGGAUUUUGAUGAAAUGGAAAUUAGAAAAAAAAAAAAAAACGAAACAAAUAUAGAAUUUCAACGAGCAAAACUUGUUACUGUUGGACAAACACAAGCUUACGAGCGAGCGCGUAACAAUCGAUUGGUCAUAUUCAUUUACGGAUUAUUUAUACGGAGAAUAUAUUCAUUCUUCAAACGUUUCUGUUUAGGGAUGCACGGAUCCGAAAUAAUAAAUGAUGACGCAGAGAGGGCGUCCGAGCCGACAAUUUUCCAGGUAUAUGCUCGCGCACGAUCGACACGAAGCGAGCGCAAAAACUCGUCGGUGCUGCGGACAACGCGGGUAGCCUAGCCGUUUAUCAAUCGCUAAUCUUAUCAGCGUAUCGCUGCAAAUCUUUGCCAGGUAAAAUUCGUUAUUCCGUGCCCGUUAUAAAUCUGGCCCCUUAUCUCAAAAGAGGGGAGACCGUGCCGGAUCCAUCAUCUCUCGCGCCGAUUUUCCCUUUCGAUCCACAAAACGAUCCACCAACCGGAUUCCCUCUCAUCCAUCGAAUCACGAGCGUUCGAAAGUGUUCGAGUCGAUGAAACUUUUACUCGCUUCGUUCCAUUUAUUUAUUUCCUUCCUUCCUUUUUUGCUUAUACGGAAUAGAUCCACGAUUGGGAAUAAUGGAUAAUGCUGGUUAUCCAUGCUCGAAAUCUUUUCGUGUAACAAAAGUCGCGACUGAUGGACACCGAGUGACAAUGAAUCCGAAGUCGGGCACGGAUCUCUACUCUGCUAUUAUUGAUCCCGGCAAUAUUUUCCAUUCAAGAUCGAGCGUGCAGGGAUAUCUUACUUCUCGCUUACACGGAACAUUGACACACCGAGCAGAGAAUGGGAUUCGACGUUGGAUCGGAAAUUGCAAGUCACUCGUAGCCAAUGAUUUACCGGAUACCAGAUACCUUUUGCAUUACGCUCAACAGUACGGAUUAAAUUAAGUCUCGUUUUAAUAAAUGCAUUCCCGUAUAUAUAUAUAUAUUUCUGUAUUCGUGGAAUACAUAGCAUAGCUUGUGGAAGGGAUAAGAAAAUUAUUUCGUGGAAAAUUGAUCAUGAUUAUUCGUAAUUUCUCGAUAAAUAAAAGGAAGAAAGAUUUAAAUGGAAAUAUGUUUCGCGUUAAAUGAUCAUCAUUCAGAUAUAUAAAAAGAAUGUUAUAUUUACGUUUCUUUUUUUAAUAUUUUCAGUCUUGAUGAAUUUCUUCCUUUUUUGCCCUUUUCGUUUUUCUUUUUCACGAUUAGAUUUUAAAAGGAAUUUAACGCGAAAUUGUCGAGAAAAAUAAUAUUAUUCGGAUUAAUUAUUCGAGAAAUGAUAAAAUAAAGGAGGAAAUGAAAGAUUAAACGUUUCGUUCGUAUUUAAUACAUGAGAGUGUCAGUUAAUUGUAAUUCAUAAACGAACUUAUAUCGAAUUGAAGCAAAUAAAUAAACAAUUACGUAGUAAUUAAUGUUCGUUUAAAUGAGAAGAAACUGGCAACUAUAAAUGGGAGUUGAAUAAUUUUGUCCAGGAAUUUCAUAAAUUAAUUGAGGAAUUAAUUAAAUUUCGUCGUGCAAAGAGUAAUUUUAAUAAACACGGAACGCGUGUUAAUAAAAAUAAACCAAAGAUGGAAUUUUUCGAAA
Apis cerana (Asiatic honeybee) is the source of this 5630-nucleotide RNA transcript. RefSeq lists it as uncharacterized. NCBI's taxonomy places the organism in Eukaryota, Metazoa, Arthropoda, Insecta, Hymenoptera, Apidae. The record is from RefSeq and is a predicted model, not a curated record.